RNAcentral lists this transfer RNA (70 nucleotides) under Capra hircus (goat). It matches the Rfam family "tRNA". Rfam says of the family: Transfer RNA (tRNA) molecules are approximately 80 nucleotides in length. Their secondary structure includes four short double-helical elements and three loops (D, anti-codon, and T loops). Lineage: Eukaryota; Metazoa; Chordata; Mammalia; Artiodactyla; Bovidae. RNAcentral also lists the same sequence under 1 other name. The record is from Rfam by way of RNAcentral.
UCUUGUGGCUCAGACAGUAGAGAAUCUGCCUGUAAUGCAGAAGACCCAGGUUCAAUCCCUGGGUCAGGAA